This 324-nucleotide ribosomal RNA is filed under the name uncultured eukaryote. RNAcentral describes it as "partial 18S ribosomal RNA". It matches the Rfam family "Eukaryotic small subunit ribosomal RNA", at positions 1470 to 1796 of the family's 1831-position model. The record is from RNAcentral.
CCCUUAGAUGCUCUGGGCCGCACGCGCGCUACACUGGUCGAUGCAACGAGUUUCUUUCCUUGGCCGACAGGCCUGGGCAAUCUUUGAACAUCGAUCGUGAUCGGGAUAGAUUCUUGUAAUUUUUGAUCUUAAACGAGGAAUUCCUAGUAAACGCAAGUCAUCAGCUUGCAUUGAUUACGUCCCUGCCCUUUGUACACACCGCCCGUCGCACCUACCGAUUGAAUGGUCCGGUGAAAUCUCCGGACUGGCGUGAGUCGGAGCAAUCUGACAAACACCGGAAAGUUGAUUAAACCUUACCACUUAGAGGAAGGAGAAGUCGUAACA